GUGCUCGCUUCAGGAGUACAUAUAGUAAAAAUUGGAAUGAUAUAGAGAUAAGCAUGGCCCCUGCACAAGGAUGACACGCAAAUUUGUGAAGCAUUCCAUAUUUGU
Molecule: small nuclear RNA, 105 nt
Organism: Balaenoptera musculus (blue whale)
Lineage: Eukaryota; Metazoa; Chordata; Mammalia; Artiodactyla; Balaenopteridae
Source: Ensembl